Molecule: long non-coding RNA, 3149 nt
Organism: Malaclemys terrapin pileata
Lineage: Eukaryota; Metazoa; Chordata; Testudines; Emydidae
Exons: 3
Source: RefSeq, a predicted model, not a curated record
UCUUUACUUUAAAUAAAUCCAGUAAAUUAAUUAUUUUAACCCUUCAGGAAUGCUACAGCUGGAAUUAUUCCUAACUUUCUUGAAGAUAUGGUUGCCAAGCAACAGAAAUGCAUACUCUGCUUCUAAUCCUAACCACUCACUAAUAUUUGAAACAUGAGCUUUUUUUAUUUCCAUAUAGCAGAGUUUUAAAAUAAUGUUAAAUAUAAAGUAAUGCAAAUUAAUCAAAUAAAUUUGACAAAUAUUAAUAUUUUUAUCAAUUUUUGUUAAAAGUUUAAAAUAAGGUAAUUGUGAUGGGUUGGAGCACAGAAACCCCUUGGGGCUACCAACUGAUGUGCCAGGCCUACUUCUGCCCCUGCUUUCCCUGCCCUCCUAGCUUGGGACUUCAGUGCCCUGCCUGGUUUGAGCCAGACCUGCUAGCCUGCUGCAAACCCAGACUCAGGUCUGAACCACAUCCCCUAACAGCUGUAGGCUUAAUUAUAAGCAGGUUAAGAAGUGUUCCUGUCUUUAACACUCAGAUUCCCAACUCCCAAUCGGGUCUAAGUCCAAAUAAAUCCAUUUUACCCUCAUAAAUUGUACGCCCUCUAUAACAUUGAUAGAGAGAUAUGCACAGCUGUUCCCCGCCCCCCAGGUAUUAAUACAUGCUCUGGGUUAAUUAAUAAGUAAAAGAUUUUAUUAAAUACACAAAGUAGGAUUUAAGUGGUUUCAAGUAGUAACAGACAGAACAAAGUGAAUUACCAAGUGAAAUAAAAUAAAACACGCAAGUCUGAGUCUAAUACAGUAAGAAAACUGAAUACAGAUAAAACCUCACCCUCAGUGGUGUUCCAGUAAGCUUCCUUUUACAGACUAGUCUCCUUCUAGUCUGGGUCCAGCAAUCACUCACAACCCCUGUAGUUACUGUCCUUUGUUCCAGUUUCUUUCAGGUAUCCUUGGGGGUGGAGAGGCUAUCUCUUGAGCCAGCUGAAUACAAAAUGGGGGGUCUCCCACGGGCUUAAAUAGGCUUUCUCUUGUGAGUGGAGACCCCCUCCUCUCUCCUAUGCAAAGUCCAGCUCCAAGAUGGAGUUUUGGAGUCAUGUGGGCAAGUCACAUGUCCAUGCAUGACUCAGUUUUUACAGGCAGCAGCCAUUGUUUUCAUGCUACCCUGAACGUCCUCAGGUAGACUUCUUAUGUGGAUUGGAGCCUUCCAAGCUUCAUUGUCCUUUAAGUGUUUCUUGAUUGGGCACUUAAUUUGCACAUUCCUUUCUCAAGAAGCUGACCAAAUGCUUUACUAAGGCUACUUAGAAAUCAAUCAAGUACACAGCCAAUACUUAUGACUUUGAAUACAACAAUGGCAUAUGCAUACAAAUAGGAUGAAUCAAUUCAGUAGAUCAUAACCUUUACAGAGAUAUGUUACAUGGCAUAUGUAGCAUAAAACACAUUCCAGUUAUGUCAUAUAUACAUUCAUAAGCAUAUUUCCAUAAAGCCUUGUGGGGUGCACCAUCACAGUAAUAACUUGUUUAUUCAAAUAUUUAACCCUUUUUAUUUUUUAUUUUUGUUUGCCUUGUUUUGUAUAGUUAUGAAUAGAAUUCUGGCACCAUUUGUUUUUAAUUGUAAGUUUGUCCUGUAUGUCAUGUGUGUUGUCCUGUGUUGUAUGUUGUGUGUGUCAUGUGACUAUUUUUUAUUAUUUUUAUUUCGUUGCAACAAAAGUCAAUUGUAUACCCUUUUAAAAUAUAUGUAUAUGUGGUACCACACUAUUUUAAGAUCAUGGUUGGGAUAUAAUCAUAGUAUUAUUAACACCAAUUUUUUUGUGCAAAGUUCAAAAAGGUUUCAGUUACAGAUAUAUAACUGCGAACCAGCUGAGCGGUGAACAGCUGAGAAGCUAACAGAGGGAGUUUGACUGGGAUCUGUCCGAGAGGAGAUAUGCUAAGUGCUGCACUAGGGGAGCUGUGUUGGAUAGAAGCGACUUUGUUUGUACAAAAUGCAAGCUGGUCUCUAUAUUAGAAGAGAAGGUUUGAAGUCUGGAGAAACGAGUAUCGACUCUGCGUUGCAUAAGAGAAAAUGAAGAUUUCCUGGACAGACAUCAGGAUAUGCAUCUACGGGCACAACGUUCUGAAGAAUCAGAGCAGGUUGCGCAGAGGGGACAGAGGGACAGUGAAGAAAUUUGGCAGCAUGUGACCUCCAGAAGAAGAAAGAGGAGCGUCCAUGUACCAGCAAUGGAGAUACAGGUACUAAUGUGGAGAGUGGGCUAGAUGAUACAUCUGAGGGAAGGGAGCAGAAGGAGACUCCACCGAUUGGAAGGCAUGAGAUGCACUGUCCUAGUGAUGGGGGUUCCAUGACCACCGCUCCCAAGGGAAGGAGGAGGGUGGUGGUGGUCGGGGACUCCCUCCUCAGGGGGACUGAGUCAUCUAUCUGCCUGGGCAUUGGUUACUUUCCUUGCUGUUGCCUCUGGGGAGUUAAUAUCUGGCUGAUUCCCCAACUUACAGCAUGUUUUAGUGAUAACCAUACAACACAAUUCUCAUAACUUCAUAGGCAUUAAUGAUAUACAUAUAUGGCUAGAUACCUCACAGGGCAUGCUUUAUAUGCAAUAUCACAAUUAUAUACAGAUGAGGAAUAUGGGGGUUACAAGAUGCUCCCCCAAGGUAUAGUAUGUCACAACACUUUUAUAAAAGUGAAUAAUAAGGGAAUAAUAAUGCAAAGCCUGAAAAGGGGGUAAGUCCCUUAGGGACAGUUUGUAAUGGACCUAAACCAAAGGGAAAAAGCUUGAUAAACCAUAUACAUAAAAAAAAUAAUUAUAAACAGACUAAAAUAAGAACAGCCAAAUAAGAAUGAACCAGUUGUAAAUAACAAUCAGCUAAAGCACAGCUGGAGUCUAUUAUAAAAUAAUAAUAACACUGGUCUACAAUUUUUGAGAAGUCGUCUGCUUCAGAGAUAAAAUGUGCUAUUUAUUAUGUAUUUUGAUGUGCUGAAUUCAAAUAUGACCAUUAAAACAACUGAUUGGCUACUGUUUCUAAGAUAUUUAAGUUUUUACAUUUUAUGUCUAUGUAUAUUGUGUAGAUAGAAGAGUUUUAAUCAUAAAUUGUAAACCUAGGUCUUUUCAUGUGUUUAUGGUUGCUUUACAUGAUAAUAUUUCACCUGUCCUGUUUAUGUAACACUUUAAAAGUCAGCAAAAGGGA